UAAGUGCAUUCUCCACCUGCAAUGCUCCCUUUGGAGUACGAUCUCAUGGUGUAUGAUCAGGAUAGCUGUCUGUUAUUUCCUCUCAUCUCUAGCUGGUAUUGGAAUAACUUGUCUCUUGUUCAGGACCUAUUAUAAGGAAGGGAUGGCACACAUCUUCUGAGGGCAGGGGAAAAUUUCUUCUCAACACAUUUUCAGAAAACAUUUAUAUUAAUAAGAACCUCAUGAAUAAACUUGAUUUCUCAGACAUGGAUGCAGAAUCUCCUCCAGCUUCUCAAAAGAAGACCAUGUAGUCAUGAAAAUUGUCACAGAUUCUCCAAGUUGCUCCUCACCUCAUUCAUAGUACUUUUACUGCUAUUGAAAAUGUUAUUCUCAGUUGCUCUGAUCACUUUGUUUAAACAACAUACUCAGCUUCCUGAUGAAAAAGCAAUUACGAAAGAACUGAAUUACACUGACCUGGAGUGUACAAAACAGCAUUCACUCUCGAAAG
Molecule: long non-coding RNA, 487 nt
Organism: Peromyscus leucopus (white-footed mouse)
Lineage: Eukaryota; Metazoa; Chordata; Mammalia; Rodentia; Cricetidae
Exons: 3
Source: RefSeq, a predicted model, not a curated record